RNAcentral lists this ribosomal RNA (921 nucleotides) under Escherichia coli. Its description in RNAcentral is "partial 23S ribosomal RNA". It matches the Rfam family "Bacterial large subunit ribosomal RNA", at positions 345 to 1269 of the family's 2925-position model. The record is from RNAcentral. Lineage: Bacteria; Pseudomonadati; Pseudomonadota; Gammaproteobacteria; Enterobacterales; Enterobacteriaceae.
GAAAGGCGCGCGAUACAGGGUGACAGCCCCGUACACAAAAAUGCACAUAUUGUGAGCUCGAUGAGUAGGGCGGGACACGUGGUAUCCUGUCUGAAUAUGGGGGGACCAUCCUCCAAGGCUAAAUACUCCUGACUGACCGAUAGUGAACCAGUACCGUGAGGGAAAGGCGAAAAGAACCCCGGCGAGGGGAGUGAAAAAGAACCUGAAACCGUGUACGUACAAGCAGUGGGAGCCUCUUAAUGGGGUGACUGCGUACCUUUUGUAUAAUGGGUCAGCGACUUAUAUUCUGUAGCAAGGUUAACCGAAUAGGGGAGCCGAAGGGAAACCGAGUCUUAACUGGGCGUUAAGUUGCAGGGUAUAGACCCGAAACCCGGUGAUCUAGCCAUGGGCAGGUUGAAGGUUGGGUAACACUAACUGGAGGACCGAACCGACUAAUGUUGAAAAAUUAGCGGAUGACUUGUGGCUGGGGGUGAAAGGCCAAUCAAACCGGGAGAUAGCUGGUUCUCCCCGAAAGCUAUUUAGGUAGCGCCUCGUGAAUUCAUCUCCGGGGGUAGAGCACUGUUUCGGCAAGGGGGUCAUCCCGACUUACCAACCCGAUGCAAACUGCGAAUACCGGAGAAUGUUAUCACGGGAGACACACGGCGGGUGCUAACGUCCGUCGUGAAGAGGGAAACAACCCAGACCGCCAGCUAAGGUCCCAAAGUCAUGGUUAAGUGGGAAACGAUGUGGGAAGGCCCAGACAGCCAGGAUGUUGGCUUAGAAGCAGCCAUCAUUUAAAGAAAGCGUAAUAGCUCACUGGUCGAGUCGGCCUGCGCGGAAGAUGUAACGGGGCUAAACCAUGCACCGAAGCUGCGGCAGCGACGCUUAUGCGUUGUUGGGUAGGGGAGCGUUCUGUAAGCCUGUGAAGGUGUGCUGUGAGGC